This 497-nucleotide ribosomal RNA is filed under the name uncultured bacterium. RNAcentral's name for it is "partial 16S ribosomal RNA". It matches the Rfam family "Bacterial small subunit ribosomal RNA", at positions 28 to 507 of the family's 1533-position model. The record is from RNAcentral.
GAUGAACGCUGGCGGCGUGCCUAAUACAUGCAAGUCGAGCGAAAAGACGAGAAGAUUGCUCCUCUGAGGGUAGCGGCGGACGGGUGAGUAACACGUGGAUCACAUACCUAUAAGACUGGGAUAACAUCGGGGAACCGGAGCUACUACCGGAUAAUAUAUUGAACCGCAUGGUUCAAUAGAGAAAGACGGCUUUGCUGUUAGUUAGAGAUGGUUCCGCGCCGCAUUAGCUAGUUGGUAAGGUAACGGCUUACCAAGGCAACGAUGCGUAGCCGAGCUGAGAGGGUGAUCGGCCACACUGGAACUGAGACACGGUCCAGACUCCUACGGGAGGCAGCAGUAGGGAAUCUUCCACAAUGGGCGAAAGCCUGACGGAGCAACGCCGCGUGAGUGAUGAAGGUCUUCGGAUCGUAAAACUCUGUUAUUAGGGAAGAACAAAUGUGUAAGUAACUAUGCACGUCUUGACGGUACCUAAUCAGAAAGCCACGGCUAACUACGUG